GAUGAACGCUGGCGGCGUGCCUAAUACAUGCAAGUCGAGCGAACGGACGAGAAGCUUGCUUCUCUGAUGUUAGCGGCGGACGGGUGAGUAACACGUUGAUAACCUACCUAUAAGACUGGGAUAACUUCGGGAAACCGUAGCUAAUACCGGAUAAUAUUUUGAACCGCAUGGUUCAAAAGUGAAAGACGGCCUUGCUGUCACUUAUAGAUGGAUCCGCGCUGCAUUAGCUAGUUGGUAAGGUAACGGCUUACCAAGGCAACGAUGCAUAGCCGACCUGAGAGGGUGAUCGGCCACACUGGAACUGAGACACGGUCCAGACUCCUACGGGAGGCAGCAGUAGGGAAUCUUCCGCAAUGGGCGAAAGCCUGACGGAGCAACGCCGCGUGAGUGAUGAAGGUCUUCGGAUCGUAAAACUCUGUUAUUAGGGAAGAACAUAUGUGUAAGUAACUGUGCACAUCUUGACGGUACCUAAUCAGAAAGCCACGGCUAACUACGUG
RNAcentral lists this ribosomal RNA (497 nucleotides) under uncultured bacterium. RNAcentral describes it as "partial 16S ribosomal RNA". It matches the Rfam family "Bacterial small subunit ribosomal RNA", at positions 28 to 507 of the family's 1533-position model. The record is from RNAcentral.